UCAAGUGAAGAAGCGCAUACGGUGGAUGCCUUGGCAGUCAGAGGCGAUGAAAGACGUGGUAGCCUGCGAAAAGCUUCGGGGAGUCGGCAAACAGACUUUGAUCCGGAGAUGUCUGAAUGGGGGAACCCAGCCAUCAUAAGAUGGUUACCUUACACUGAAUACAUAGGUGUAAGGGGCGAACCAGGGGAACUGAAACAUCUAAGUACCCUGAGGAAAAGAAAUCAACCGAGAUUCCCUUAGUAGUGGCGAGCGAACGGGGACUAGCCCUUAAGUGGCUUUGAGAUUAGCGGAACGCUCUGGAAAGUGCGGCCAUAGUGGGUGAUAGCCCUGUACGCGAAAAUCUCUUAGUCAUGAAAUCGAGUAGGACGGAGCACGAGAAACUUUGUCUGAAUAUGGGGGGACCAUCCUCCAAGGCUAAAUACUACUGACUGACCGAUAGUGAACUAGUACCGUGAGGGAAAGGCGAAAAGAACCCCGGAGAGGGGAGUGAAAUAGAUCCUGAAACCGUAUGCGUACAAGCAGUGGGAGCCCACUUUGUUGGGUGACUGCGUACCUUUUGUAUAAUGGGUCAGCGACUUAUUUUCAGUGGCGAGCUUAACCGAAUAGGGGAGGCGUAGCGAAAGCGAGUCUUAAUAGGGCGUCUAGUCGCUGGGAAUAGACCCGAAACCGGGCGAUCUAUCCAUGGGCAGGUUGAAGGUUGGGUAACACUAACUGGAGGACCGAACCGACUACCGUUGAAAAGUUAGCGGAUGACCUGUGGAUCGGAGUGAAAGGCUAAUCAAGCUCGGAGAUAGCUGGUUCUCCUCGAAAGCUAUUUAGGUAGCGCCUCAUGUAUCACUGUAGGGGGUAGAGCACUGUUUCGGCUAGGGGGUCAUCCCGACUUACCAAACCGAUGCAAACUCCGAAUACCUACAAGUGCCGAGCAUGGGAGACACACGGCGGGUGCUAACGUCCGUCGUGAAAAGGGAAACAACCCAGACCGUCAGCUAAGGUCCCAAAGUUAUGGUUAAGUGGGAAACGAUGUGGGAAGGCUUAGACAGCUAGGAGGUUGGCUUAGAAGCAGCCACCCUUUAAAGAAAGCGUAAUAGCUCACUAGUCGAGUCGGCCUGCGCGGAAGAUGUAACGGGGCUCAAACCAUACACCGAAGCUACGGGUAUCACGUAAGUGAUGCGGUAGAGGAGCGUUCUGUAAGCCUGUGAAGGUGAGUUGAGAAGCUUGCUGGAGGUAUCAGAAGUGCGAAUGCUGACAUGAGUAACGACAAUGGGUGUGAAAAACACCCACGCCGAAAGACCAAGGUUUCCUGCGCAACGUUAAUCGACGCAGGGUUAGUCGGUCCCUAAGGCGAGGCUGAAAAGCGUAGUCGAUGGAAAACAGGUUAAUAUUCCUGUACUUCUGGUUAUUGCGAUGGAGGGACGGAGAAGGCUAGGCCAGCUUGGCGUUGGUUGUCCAAGUUUAAGGUGGUAGGCUGAGAUCUUAGGUAAAUCCGGGAUCUUAAGGCCGAGAGCUGAUGACGAGUUGUCUUUUAGAUGACGAAGUGGUUGAUGCCAUGCUUCCAAGAAAAGCUUCUAAGCUUCAGGUAACCAGGAACCGUACCCCAAACCGACACAGGUGGUUGGGUAGAGAAUACCAAGGCGCUUGAGAGAACUCGGGUGAAGGAACUAGGCAAAAUGGCACCGUAACUUCGGGAGAAGGUGCGCCGGUGAGGGUGAAGGACUUGCUCCGUAAGCCCAUGCCGGUCGAAGAUACCAGGCCGCUGCGACUGUUUAUUAAAAACACAGCACUCUGCAAACACGAAAGUGGACGUAUAGGGUGUGACGCCUGCCCGGUGCCGGAAGGUUAAUUGAUGGGGUUAGCUAACGCGAAGCUCUUGAUCGAAGCCCCGGUAAACGGCGGCCGUAACUAUAACGGUCCUAAGGUAGCGAAAUUCCUUGUCGGGUAAGUUCCGACCCGCACGAAAGGCGUAACGAUCUGGGCACUGUCUCAACGAGAGACUCGGUGAAAUUAUAGUACCUGUGAAGAUGCAGGUUACCCGCGACAGGACGGAAAGACCCCGUGGAGCUUUACUGUAGCCUGAUAUUGAAUUUUGGUACAGCUUGUACAGGAUA
This 2105-nucleotide ribosomal RNA is filed under the name Rossellomorea aquimaris. RNAcentral's name for it is "bacterial LSU rRNA". It matches the Rfam family "Bacterial large subunit ribosomal RNA", at positions 3 to 2145 of the family's 2925-position model. The record is from RNAcentral. Lineage: Bacteria; Bacillati; Bacillota; Bacilli; Caryophanales; Bacillaceae.